CAAUGUAAUACGUGUUUGCACAGCGUUCCCUUUAAUUUAUUGCUUAGCGGUACUUCAUAAACACAUCUAGAGAUUUUUUCAUAUUUAUUUUUAUUUUAUUUUAUGGAGAUUAUGAGAAAAGGCUGAGAUAUGGGGGUGUUAUUUUCAAUUUAAACGUAUAGAGCAUUGCCAUUUACUAGAAAUUGUUAACAUGAAGAGGCCGUUGCUACGACGAUCUAAUUUACAUUCUUGUUUAAUUCAUUAUCAUUUAUCAUCCAACUCUAAUUAUUUUGCAAUCUGCAAUAUUGAUGAACAAGCUACUAAGUACUGUUUCAACGGCUUAUGAAUUAUAUCACAUCAAACAAUCAUGGUCUCAGACCUAUAAUGCAAAUAGCGUAUGCUUACAGAAUUGAAAUCGAAUAAAGUUUAGUAGGAAAUUAUACAAACUCAUAGCGUGUCUCAACUUUUAUUAUAAUUCAUUAUGGUACAAAACUAUUUUGAGUUAAGCAAAAGUUCAAUGGAUAAAAUUCCAAACGUUAGGUUUUUAAAAACGACAAGAGUAAGACAUCACAUUUAACAAUUUGCAUUUUGAAGAUGAACCAUUAAUCACUCUUAAUCAGCCCUUGGUUGUUUACGAACACUAUCUGAUUCACUGUUCCUGUCUUUAUAAAGUUCGCCAUCAUCAACCUCACGCAACCAUGGUGCCAAUAUGACAGGUGAUUCAGAACCUUUUUUAUCCAUCUUCACAACAAAGUCUUCGUUCCUCUUAUUCAAGUGGUAUGUUUUUUGCUUCCGGAGAGUGUAAGGUGAAGGUGACCUAGAUUCAUUAGACCUUUUUCUAGAUACCUUUGGUGAAUAUUGACGGUUGUAUGAUAAAGAGUCAUAAGAUCUUUUAUUCCUAGCAGGAGAGCGAGAAAUAGGGCGUGCAGCGGAGACGGAGAUCUAGAGUAUGAAACUGAACAUGACAUACUCAACCUUCUUCUGUAGGAGGGUGAGCGAGAAAAGGACCUGCCUCUGCUUGUAGAACCAGCGUAUGAACGUCUAUAACGUUGGCGCGAGCGAUACUUACGUGAAGCAGGUGAAGAAGAACGAGAACGAUAACCCUUAUCUUCAGAUUCAAUUAAUCUUCCCUCCGGCGUGUAAGAGCGUGAGCGACCCCUUGACAAUGAUGAUGACCUGGAAAGAUCAGAAUAAGAGUUACGGUUUGAUGACCGUUCUCUCCCACGAGGAGAUAAUUCUCUAUCUUUUCUAAUGUAUUUUUUAUGAUUUAUAUUAUUGAUAGGGGUUACACUGCGGGAGCGAGAAUAAGAACGGCUUUUCGAGUAUGACCGAGUUGACCGAGAAUAUGAUCUCCCACGUGAGUAUGUGGAAGAAUAAGAGGAACUAUAUGUUGAUCCUGUCUCGGAUCCAGAGCUAUAACCUUCGCUAUCUUGCUCCUUUGGCUCGCUUUUGGGCAUGGUAAGGAGGUACUCUCUCAUUUCUUCAGUUAAUGCACCCAAACCAAUAGAAGUAAAGUAAUUGAUAGAGAAACGAACGUUACGAGCUUCAUCGACUGGAAACAAGCCAUGUAAGUAAGGCACUAAAUUAGGAUCGUGUAAUCUUUCUACCAAGCUCUUAAGACCUAAAGCUUCCACUAUUUCCUGAAACAUUAUUUUUAAAAAUAUUCGAGAAGAAGCUGUGGUAUCGUCUUCGGUAAGACGU
Schizosaccharomyces pombe (fission yeast) is the source of this 1680-nucleotide non-coding RNA. Lineage: Eukaryota; Fungi; Ascomycota; Schizosaccharomycetes; Schizosaccharomycetales; Schizosaccharomycetaceae. The record is from the annotation of a GenBank genome assembly.